RNAcentral lists this long non-coding RNA (4178 nucleotides) under Homo sapiens (human). Its description in RNAcentral is "HSALNT0367824". Lineage: Eukaryota; Metazoa; Chordata; Mammalia; Primates; Hominidae. The record is from RNAcentral.
GUAGCUGUGGAAAGCCUGCGCCCCAAGGAGGGACGCGGGGGUGCAGUCGCGGCCCAUUAUCUGUGCCCGGGAAGUCCUGAAGGCUCUAGGAGCUGUCAGAUUAAACCCCCAGACCCACAAGAAAAUCCCUGAAGCUUCGGUGAGCGUGGGAUUUGGCGUGCAGUUGGUUCCGUAUGGUUCCCCAUUAAGACUUGGAAGUCGGCUUACCAAGAUUUCCUCUUACCCUUCGGCUGUGUUGAGUAGAUAUUACACAGACACCCCGCCCAUGACUCUGCUCUUGCAGGAAAACAUUUAUUUCAAAAAUACUGCAACGGUUUCAUCUCUCAUGUCCUUUUAGGUUCUUUCUAGUAAUUGUGAACUUUUCCUCUCAAGUCAUUCCAUCAAAGUCUUGGAAGCAAAUGAAAAAAACAUACUACCCUGAAAUAGAGUUCACAUCUUUCUUUACCAACUUGCCUUUCCCAGGAAGACAUCGUGGUGGGUUUGCAGUUCAGGUUUCCUCACAGCCUCUCCUGGGGGUCUUUUUCCCUCUCUGGUACCUUGAGGCAUAGGACAGAAGGGAGCUGCUGAAGUUUCUGGAUGUCGCUUAUUUUUCACAUUUGUUUUAACUUCUUUUGGCCAGAACUGUGUAUUGUUUUCGCAUAGAUUUCUGCAAUUAGAAUUAUUGUAAUUAGAAAGAAUAAUAAUCUUCAUAUAAGGCUUAGGGUACGCACUACUUUAAGGUCUUUGUAAAUGUGUGCAUAUUCAUUUCUCUCAUCAACUCUGAGGUAGGGGCUAUUCUUACCCCAUUAUUGACCUUUUACAAAUGAGGAAACUGAUGCUUGGAGAAGUUAGAUAACUCGCCCAAGGCCAUUCCUUCUCUAAGAGGAGGAACUGGAAUUUGACCCCAAACUGUCAGGUAAAUCCAAUGCUUUGUUCACUAUGCAAUAGAAAUUCUUUAUUAAUAAAUUUAAUUGUGUUGAAAUAUUAAGUUUACAUUUUGGUGGGAUUUUCCCCCUCGUUUUAUUAAAGUGGCCUUCCUGAAUUUUAUUGUGGAGGGAUGUUUAAAGUUAGUUUGGGUAGAAAGCCACACACAAUUGUAAAAAGGAAGUCUUAUGAAGAAAUCAUGCAUUCCAAGGCAGUGUUACAUUUUUCUUAAAGGGUAGAUUAUUGAAAUAUUUGACCUAAGAACUCAUUUUUUUUCUCAGGAGAAAGGUUUGUCUUCAUACACCUUUAGCCCCGAGCAAAUGGUGAAUCCUCCAGGAGAAUGACGAUGAGGCUUUUUAGUCUUCAGGGUUCGAUAAAUAUAUAUCGAUUGAAAUGUAUUCAAAAAGUGAAUACCCUUGAAAGGACGAUGACAUAAUGCCAAAUGAAAAGGAAAUUUCCCAAAGAAACCUAAAUAAUGGAUAGAUUUGAUAGCAAGAUACUACUGGUUUUUUCCUUCUGGAACCUUCUUUUCUGCACUUGAAACCUUCCCUGUCCAGCCAAGACUGGGUUAGAAGCUCCUUUUGUGUGUUCGUGUGGCACCCAAGGUCUGCCCCUGUAGUGGUACUGACCACGGUGUAUUCUCGUGGCCUGUUCACCUGGCUGUGCUUCCCAGGAGAGUAAGUGCCUGGAAGAGCAGGCAUUCUGUCAGGCUCAACAGAGUGCAACAGCGUGUCCCCAGGGCUCAGGACAGUUGUUUGUCCUAGAGCUAUGGGAGUUAUUGAGCUAAGCAAUACUUGUUAAAAGCAUGAGCUUACACAAUUGAUCAGCCAUGUCUUGUUAGGAUGUACUGAAUUGGAAUUUAGCAGAAACUGGGAGAGCAAUGUCCCCGUCAGGAAAUGUCUGUUCAAUCUUGGUCUGUGUAUAUCCUACUUACCCACAUGUUAUUUUGCACAUAAUAGUUUUUUUGAUGUUUAUUAAGAACAAAAACAGCCUCUUUAAAAUUGUGUGUUCAGUUAGCUAACUGUAUUUCAGCAUCCAAUUAAUAAUCAGAGGUUUAAUAACUACAGCCUUAAUUCUGGCCUCACAAUGAUAGAAUGAUAAAAUCAUAGGUUUUUUUUUUUUUUUUUUUUUUUUGGCUGAAGGAGAUCUUAUAACUGCUCUGUCCAAUACACAACCACUGGCCACAUGGCUAUUUGAAUGAAUUAAAAUUAAUAAAAUUGACAAUUAAGUUCUUCAAUAGGGCAUUUUAAUUGCUCAGUAGCCACAUGUGACUACUUAAAUAAAAUUAAUUUUAUUAAUUCAUUCAAAAAUGGACAGCACUGACAGAUAGUUCCAUUAUUGUAGGAACUGUUAUUGGACAGGGCUGAUAAGUUACCGAAGGAAAAAAAACAGGUAAAAGAAGAUAUUUGAGAUAGCUUAGCAUUAGCAUUGUUACAUACAAAGAACAUUACACUCAUAUUCAAAGUGUCUGCUGUUAGGUUGGUGCAAAAGUAAUUGCGGUUUUUGCCAUUACUUUUAAUGAGGAAAUAUUUCGUAUAUGAUAAACAGUUUUCCUUAGCAGUUGUACCUAAAUUAAUGCACAUUUAAACAUAUUCAGGAGAAUGAAUGGUUCAAAAGGAUUCCUUUUUGCAUUCCUUUAAAGUGAAUACUCAUUCCAGUUGAUCCUUUGUGAGUUCUAUUUUUUUUUCUGUUUAAACAUACUGAAAUCAACUUGAGUCACUACACAAGUUUGACAUUCAUUAGAUUUGGCUGUGCUUUUUAAGCUCGCAUGAUUGAGAAACUAAAAUACUCAGUAAUGUUGGUAAAGGACAAAUGCCAGAUAGUUUUGGACAGACCAAAUAUAUAUUUAAUGACAUCACACAUGCAAUACAGACAGUUCUCAAUUUACAAACACUCUUGAGAAGCAGCCAUAGGUUAAAUAUAAAACAUACUGGGUGUACCUUCUUUAAAAUCCUCUUAAGAACAGUACCACCUGGAUAUCCAUUGUAUGAACAAAUUAGUAUUUAAAAAUAAUAAAAAUAAGUCUUAGAAUUAGAGAAUGUAUAGUUUUGAGCUGUGGAGGCAAUAAAGAGGCUGUGUAAAACUCAGGGGGAGUUAGUUGAGGUUAUUUCCACAGUAGAGCAGAUUUGCUUAAGUAACCCCCUGACAAAAAUAGCUUAGUUCCGCCUCCCCGCAGCAUGCCUGCCCCUCCCUGCUGUGUGCAUUUCCCCCAGUCCUUCAGUCGUUAAAAAUUUUCCCAUUUCAUUUAUACUCCAGUUUCAGUUCCGUUGAUUCAAAGUUUUGGGACUUAGGACAAGUUUGCUAGCUUCUCUGAGCCUCAGUUUUUUAAACCGUUAAAUAGGAAUAACAGCAUGCUGAGUGCCAAGAAUUAAAGAAAAAUUUAUGUGAAAAUAUAGAUUAGAAAGAAAACUAAUAUAAAUGCAGGGGAUUAUGAUCAUAAUACUCAUAAAACUUCAGUACUCCCUGGGAAGAUCCAAUGGCCGUCAGUCAUGUGCACGUGAUCAGAAUCUGGGCCAUCAUAUUUUUUUAAGCAAGUUGAUGGCCUGAGGGUUCUUGGCCAGGUGGGAGGAGGCUGCUCUGGGAUGUUGAAGAGAGAUUUUAAAAAGGAGAUGGAAGGCUGUGAAAACAUAGUUCAAAUUGGAGGGAGCUUGGGCAGAUACCACCUUUUCUUUUAAGGAAUGAAUGUAAUUGCUUGCAUUUUGUCUCUACUUCCUUCCUCUCAUUGAUUUAUUCCGAAGGCUAGAGUUUCUACUUUACAUUCUAAUUCAUCUGACAUAGCGUGUUUUUAAAAAACUUAGCAUUGCUUGCUUUGAUUUUCCAGUUGACUUUUGCUGAUGGAGCCUCUCUGAAGGGCAAAUUCAAAGUACAGCUGGGUGCUGCAGCACUGGAGUGCGAACUUGUGGCUGUGGUUAUGAAGGAGCCUCGUCAGCUAUGCCUUUAGCCCCUGGUGAAGCAGUGCCAGUCACACUUUGCCAGUCAAACGGAGAGGCAGCAGUAGUAAGACCAGACCAAAUCAAACCAAACCAAGCAAACCACGGGGAAUGGAGGUCAUGUGAGCACACAGCAUAAAGGCAGCUGCCCACAAGCCAGGAAGAGAAGCAUCAUCAGAAACCGACCAUACUGGCUUCCUGAUCUCAGACUUUCAGCCUCCAGAAUGGAUAUAUUUGGCAUUAAACUCGGGACAAAAGAAGACACAAACUUUAUCUUGUGGUUUGGGUCCUCCAAUCCUCAUAAAAGUGUGGUUUCACCUGUUACCUCAUAAAGGUGCCAUUGCU